RNAcentral lists this ribosomal RNA (253 nucleotides) under uncultured bacterium. RNAcentral's name for it is "partial 16S ribosomal RNA". It matches the Rfam family "Bacterial small subunit ribosomal RNA", at positions 524 to 776 of the family's 1533-position model. The record is from RNAcentral.
UACGUAGGGUGCAAGCGUUAAUCGGAAUUACUGGGCGUAAAGCGUGCGCAGGCGGCUUUGCAAGACAGAUGUGAAAUCCCCGGGCUUAACCUGGGAACUGCAUUUGUGACUGCAUGGCUGGAGUGCGGCAGAGGGGGAUGGAAUUCCGCGUGUAGCAGUGAAAUGCGUAGAUAUGCGGAGGAACACCGAUGGCGAAGGCAGCCUCCUGGGCCAGCACUGACGCUCAUGCACGAAAGCGUGGGGAGCAAACAGG